CCUACGGGUGGCAGCAGUGAGGAAUAUUGGUCAAUGGCCGGAAGGCUGAACCAGCCAAGCCGCGUGAAGGACGAAGGUGCCAAGCAUUGUAAACUUCUUUUGUCAAGGGACAAAAUCAGGCUCGAGAGCCUGACCGAGGGUACUUGAAGAAAAAGAAUCGGCUCACUCCGUGCCAGCAGCCGCGGUACUACGGAGGAUGCGAGCGUUAUCCGGAUGUAUUGGGUUUAAAGGGUGCGUGGCCGGGCUGUUAAGUCAGAGGUAAAAGCCCGGGGCUAAACCCCGGCGAGCCGUUGACACUGGCUGUCUGGAGAUGUCGAGAGGUAUGCGGAAUGCGCAGUGUAGCGGUGAAAUGCUUAAAUAUUGCGCAGAACUCCGAUUGCGAAGGCAGCAUACCGGCGGCGAUCUGACGCUGAGGCACGAAAGCGUGGGUAUCGAACAGGAUUAGAUACCCCUGUAGUC
RNAcentral lists this ribosomal RNA (459 nucleotides) under uncultured bacterium. Its description in RNAcentral is "partial 16S ribosomal RNA". It matches the Rfam family "Bacterial small subunit ribosomal RNA", at positions 338 to 795 of the family's 1533-position model. The record is from RNAcentral.